RNAcentral lists this ribosomal RNA (230 nucleotides) under uncultured bacterium. Its description in RNAcentral is "partial 16S ribosomal RNA". It matches the Rfam family "Bacterial small subunit ribosomal RNA", at positions 57 to 305 of the family's 1533-position model. The record is from RNAcentral.
GCAAGUCGAACGAGAAACCAUCUUCGGAUGGCAGACAGUGGCAGACGGGUGAGUAACGCGUGGCAACCUACCAUUUUCUACGGAACAACAGUUGGAAACGACUGCUAAUACCGUAUACGUCCUCCGGGAGAAAGAUUUAUCGGUGAAUGAUGGGGCCGCGUUAGAUUAGCUAGUUGGUGAGGUAAUGGCUCACCAAGGCGACGAUCUCUAACUGGUCUGAGAGGAUGACC